Molecule: ribosomal RNA, 253 nt
Filed under: uncultured bacterium
Lineage: Bacteria
Description: partial 16S ribosomal RNA
Rfam family: Bacterial small subunit ribosomal RNA
Source: RNAcentral
UACAGAGACUGCAAGCGUUAUUCGGAUUCACUGGGCGUAAAGGGUGCGCAGGCGGUUGGGUGUGUCAGAUGUGAAAUCCCGAGGCUUAACCUCGGAACUGCGUCUGAAACUACUCGACUAGAGUAUUGGAGAGGGUAACGGAAUUCACGGUGUAGCAGUGAAAUGCGUAGAUAUCGUGAGGAACACCAGAGGCGAAGGCGGUUACCUGGACAAUUACUGACGCUCAGGCACGAAAGCAUGGGGAGCAAAAGGG